Molecule: transfer RNA, 72 nt
Filed under: Larus vegae (Vega gull)
Lineage: Eukaryota; Metazoa; Chordata; Aves; Charadriiformes; Laridae
Also listed under: 1 other name
Description: tRNA-Trp
Rfam family: tRNA
About the family: Transfer RNA (tRNA) molecules are approximately 80 nucleotides in length.
Source: RNAcentral
AGAAACUUAGGAUAGCCCCCAAACCGAAGGCCUUCAAAGCCUUAAACAAGAGUUGAACCCUCUUAGUUUCUG